AGGAAUAUUGGUCAAUGGACGAGAGUCUGAACCAGCCAAGUAGCGUGCAGGAAGACGGCCCUAUGGGUUGUAAACUGCUUUUAUAAGGGAAUAAAGUUAGUCUCGUGAGACUUUUUGCAUGUACCUUAUGAAUAAGGACCGGCUAAUUCCGUGCCAGCAGCCGCGGUAAUACGGAAGGUCCGGGCGUUAUCCGGAUUUAUUGGGUUUAAAGGGAGCGUAGGCCGGAGAUUAAGCGUGUUGUGAAAUGUAGACGCUCAACGUCUGCACUGCAGCGCGAACUGGUUUCCUUGAGUACGCACAAAGUGGGCGGAAUUCGUGGUGUAGCGGUGAAAUGCUUAGAUAUCACGAAGAACUCCGAUUGCGAAGGCAGCUCACUGGAGCGCAACUGACGCUGAAGCUCGAAAGUGCGGGUAUCGAACAGGAUUAGAUACCCUGGUAGUCCGCACGGUAAACGAUGGAUGCCCGCUGUUGGUCUGAAUAGGUCAGCGGCCAAGCGAAAGCAUUAAGCAUCCCACCUGGGGAGUACGCCGGCAACGGUGAAACUCAAAGGAAUUGACGGGGGCCCGCACAAGCGGAGGAACAUGUGGUUUAAUUCGAUGAUACGCGAGGAACCUUACCCGGGCUUGAAUUGCAGAGGAAGGAGUCGGAGACAAUGACGCCCUUCGGGGCCUCUGUGAAGGUGCUGCAUGGUUGUCGUCAGCUCGUGCCGUGAGGUGUCGGCUUAAGUGCCAUAACGAGCGCAACCCCUCUCUUCAGUUGCCAUCAGGUUAAGCUGGGCACUCUGGGGACACUGCCACCGUAAGAUGUGAGGAAGGUGGGGAUGACGUCAAAUCAGCACGGCCCUUACGUCCGGGGCUACACACGUGUUACAAUGGGCGGUACAGAAGGCAGCUACCUGGCGACAGGAGGCCAAUCCCUAAAGCCGCUCUCAGUUCGGACUGGAGUCUGCAACCCGACUCCACGAAGCUGGAUUCGCUAGUAAUCGCGCAUCAGCCAUGGCGCGGUGAAUACGUUCCCG
This 1018-nucleotide ribosomal RNA is filed under the name uncultured bacterium. Its description in RNAcentral is "bacterial SSU rRNA". It matches the Rfam family "Bacterial small subunit ribosomal RNA", at positions 357 to 1376 of the family's 1533-position model. The record is from RNAcentral.